CUACGGAGGGUGCAAGCGUUACUCGGGAUCACUGGGCGUAAAGCGCGCGCAGGCGGUCUUUUAAGUUGGAUGUGAAAGCCUACGGCUCAACCGUAGAACUGCAUCCAAAACUAUUAGACUAGAGUGUGGGAGAGGAAGAUGGAAUUAGUUGUGUAGGGGUAAAAUCCGUAGAGAUAACUAGGAAUACCAAAAGCGAAGGCAAUCUUCUGGAACACUACUGACGCUGAGGCGCGAAAGCGUGGGGAGCAAACAGGAUUAGAAACCCGAGUAGUCC
RNAcentral lists this ribosomal RNA (274 nucleotides) under uncultured bacterium. RNAcentral's name for it is "partial 16S ribosomal RNA". It matches the Rfam family "Bacterial small subunit ribosomal RNA", at positions 523 to 796 of the family's 1533-position model. The record is from RNAcentral.